Molecule: long non-coding RNA, 968 nt
Organism: Caretta caretta (loggerhead turtle)
Lineage: Eukaryota; Metazoa; Chordata; Testudines; Cheloniidae
Source: RefSeq, a predicted model, not a curated record
GUCCUUCGCUUCCACAGAACAUCAGCCUACUGCUCAGGUCGUUGUCUUACUGCUUCAGCAAUGCCCUCAAAGCUGCGUACUCCUGAGGGGAUUCUGCACCAAAAAAUGAAAAAUGCUGUGCACAGUAUUGCAAAAUUCUGCAAAUAAAUGCAGAGGCUCCAGUGCAGGAAGGUGGAAGAUCACCCAGCAGCCUCCCCACCCGCCAUCUCGGGGACAAGGACUCUGGUCAGGCUGCACCUGACCGUGACACAGCACAAGGCCUGGGCCUGCCCCAGAAACACCCUGGGGCCCUGACCCUCUGCACCAGGCGCACUUGUAGGAGCAGGAUUUUAUAAUUGUACUAUAAGUCUAGAGAGACUGUCCAGUUUGACCAAUGUACAUGGCAGAGGGGCAUUGCUGGCACAUGAUGGCAUAUAUCACAUUGGUGGAUGUGCAGGUGAACGAGCCUCUGAUAGUGUGGCUGAUGUUAUUAGGCCCUGUGAUGGUGUCCCCUGAAUAGAUAUGUGAGCACAGUUGGCAAAAAGGGCAAAUUGACGACCCUGAGGUGAAGGCAGGUACCCCUAAAGACAAUUGAUUAAAUCAGAACCAGGACAGGAUAACCCUCUUGGGGGUGCAUUGGAAUGUUUACAUCAAACGAUACACCAAUUAAGAUGUAACCAGUCACACACUGACACAGCAAAAUCCAUAGACUUCAACAGAGAAAAAAGACUAUAAGAACAGGGUGCUUGACUAUGAGACUUUGGGUUCGUCUUGCUACAAUCCAGGAGCAUCGGAUCCCGACUGACAGAGCCCUGCUCCCCUCUGUGACCAAUCUGGCUGGCCACUAGAUUGAUCCAGACUCUGGACUGGUAACCAUAAACAUCAACUGGCAGGACUGUGUGCAUGGUGUGUGUGUGUGUGAGAUUGAAAAGCAUAUGCUAACUGUUGUAUUCUCAAUAAAUGCAGCGAGCUGCCUUCUUCCUUAUAAA